This 321-nucleotide long non-coding RNA is filed under the name Homo sapiens (human). RNAcentral's name for it is "HSALNT0371459". Lineage: Eukaryota; Metazoa; Chordata; Mammalia; Primates; Hominidae. The record is from RNAcentral.
UCCAGUGUAGUCUUGUGUCUAAGCUGGUGUCUGGCCACCAAAGGCAGGCGUGCAGGGCCUUGGCUACUGCGCUAGGUCUGCUGAUGGCCACAAGCCUUUAGUCCCAGCUCUGCCUUAGCAAUGGGGGUGUCUGAAGGCUCAGGGGAUACACAGGUCCUCUAGGUUCCUGGGGAGAUGAUGAGUGAGAGUUUCGACCAGGAGUGGAUACUGAGGAGAGCAAAGAUCACCUGGUGCUCAUCAAGCCGGACUUCCAGAGGCAAAGCUCCUUAACUGAAGAAUUCAGAAUCUAUCAUUGAUGGGCAUUUAGGUUGGUUCCAUGUC